AGUGAACGUUGGCGGCGUGGAUUAGGCAUGCAAGUCGAGCGAGAACCGUAGCAAUACGGGGACAGCGGCGAAAGGGACAGUAAUGUGUAGGUACCUACCCCCGGGUUCGGGAUAGCUGCGGGAAACUGCAGGUAAUACCGAAUAAUGUCUCCGGACCAAAGGUGUGAUUCCACCUGGGGAGGGGCCUGCAUCCUAUUAGCUUGUUGGUGGGGUAACGGCCUACCAAGGCGACGAUGGGUAGCGGGUGUGAGAGCAUGACCCGCGUCAUUGGGACAGAGACACUGCCCAGACACCUACGGGUGGCUGCAGUCGGGAAUCUUCGGCAAUGGGCGCAAGCCUGACCGAGCGACGCCGCGUGCGGGAUGAAGGCCUUCGGGUUGUAAACCGCUGUCGUAGAGGAGGAAAUGCAGGAGGGUUCUCCCUCCCGUUUGACCUAUUCUAGGAGGAAGUACGGGCUAAGUUCGUGCCAGCCGCCGCGGUAA
This 482-nucleotide ribosomal RNA is filed under the name uncultured bacterium. RNAcentral's name for it is "partial 16S ribosomal RNA". It matches the Rfam family "Bacterial small subunit ribosomal RNA", at positions 28 to 523 of the family's 1533-position model. The record is from RNAcentral.